This 274-nucleotide ribosomal RNA is filed under the name uncultured bacterium. Its description in RNAcentral is "partial 16S ribosomal RNA". It matches the Rfam family "Bacterial small subunit ribosomal RNA", at positions 523 to 796 of the family's 1533-position model. The record is from RNAcentral.
AUACGGAGGGUGCAAGCGUUAUUCGGAAUCACUGGGCGUAAAGGACGCGUAGGCGGGUUGGCAAGUCAGAUGUGAAAUCCUACAGCUUAACUGUAGAACUGCAUUUGAAACUGCUAGCCUAGAGUAUGGGAGGGGGAGAUGGAAUUAGUGGUGUAGGGGUAAAAUCCGUAGAUAUCACUAGGAAUACCGAAAGCGGAGGCGAUCUCCUGGAACAUAACUGACGCUAAGGCGUGAAAGCGUGGGGAGCAAACAGGAUUAGAAACCCUAGUAGUCC